RNAcentral lists this long non-coding RNA (2622 nucleotides) under Helianthus annuus (common sunflower). RNAcentral's name for it is "hypothetical non coding rna". Lineage: Eukaryota; Viridiplantae; Streptophyta; Magnoliopsida; Asterales; Asteraceae. The record is from RNAcentral.
GAGAGUUGUACAUUUAGCUUGAGUCAUGUUUAAAGCUUGUAUUUAUCACAACGUCGCUUACAAGAGACAGAAAGACAUCGGAAAAUCCACCGCCGCUCAACCUCUGCUCCACCGCUUCUCCUCCGGCCGACGUCAUCGUCAUCGCCAGUAUACUAUAAGUUUUAGCUUUUGAUCUUCAAGAAGGGUAACUUUUUAGGGUUUUAGCAAAGGGUAUUUGUUGGAUAAAGUUGUAUAUCUGUUCGUCUCUAGAAAUUAUGAACAAAAAAAGCAAGAAACCGGAAUCAAAGUUUCAAUCUGUUCGGAAUCUGCUUCGUGAGCGUUGGGAGCUAGCGUCUAUUCUCAAUUUUUUUUGCUCAGGUCUCUAAGGAAAUGUUUGAUAUUUUAGACACGCCUAAAGCAAAGGGCGCAUGUGCCUUCUCUCAUCUCCGUCAACUGUAACAACCAUUUUGUUUGUUACUGUAAUUGCUUUUCUGAUCCAGAUUACCUUGAAAACAAAGAGGGCAAGAACUGCCUAAAGCAAACAUCAUAUGGCCUGUUAUCGGACACCUACACCUUCUAGGUGGAUCAAAACUCCCACAUCAUGUUUAUAUACAUUGUGCAGUUGUAUAAGCAUCAACAACAGCUCCAGUUUUGAAGUGAGAGACAUUAAAAUCAAGGUGAUGGUUCUGUUUUGAGAUUUUAAUUUUACUUGGUUAUAUUAAAUAGCGUAUGUAUCUUGCUAAUUUGAGACGUCGCCUCCUUCGCAGGUUCGUUGAUAGUUUAAGAACUUAUUUAUGUUAGUCGGUUCAUAAGGACUAUUUUAGUUUAAUGAUGUUACUGAAGAAUCUGAAGUUUUAGAUGAGGUGAAUAAGUUAGUGAUUUACAGGUUUAUUGAUUUUUUAAGAACUUAUUUGUUUCCACGGAUCGUUGUUUGUUAGUUUUCUGAUUAGGUUUUUUGAUUGCGGUUAUGUUAGUUAAGUAUUUGUAGGUGCUUAUGAUUAGGUUCAUUUUGAUGAUUUGUUAUUGAUAUUGAAACUGAUUUUUUUUUCUGUUGUUUGUUGAAUUUGCAAGUUCAUUUUGAUGUUUGUUGUUUGUUAAUUUUAUGUUUAUUGUGUGAUUAGGCUCCUCUGAUUGCGGUGUUACUUAAGUAUUUGCAAGUGCUUAUGAAUCAUGAUUGGGUUCAUUUUGAUGAUUAGUUAUUGAUAUUGAAACUGUUUUUUUUCUUCUGCUGUUUAGUAAUCUGCAUAUACAGAUAAAUCGGAUCAUAUUAUGUUUGUUCUGUGAUUAGGCUCUUUGAUUACGCUCAUGUUACUGAGUAACUCUAAGGAAGAAGUAAAGAAUAGGGCGUUUCACAGGUCUAUUGACUAUUUGAGGAAUUAAUCUAUUUUCAAUCGCUUCAUAUUUGUUCAUUUAAUCAAUUUGUUUGUAAGAAUGUCUUUUUUUACUUUUGGUUAUUUGAUCGAUUCUACGUAGGUAGGACAUGUGAUGUGAAUUGAUGUGGCAUGGCAUGCAUCUAACAUUAUGAGUUUUUCCCGAUGAAAUUACAAUUUUCAAUUCAAGGACAUUUUUAUAUAGAAUUGCGUGCCCCACUUGCGGUGUUCAGAUAUAAUGUAUAUUUGCAUGGGCGCUCGGGGGGCAAAAGUGAAAUGGUACUAACUCUAACGUUUUUUUAUUAAUUUCGUGAAAAUAACAUUAAAAGCGACGAAUGGUUAACCAUGCAUCAUGUGGUGACGUUGAUAGCUGAAAGACACAGGGGUACAAGCACCAAACAGUCUCUGUCUCGAUUGUUUGAGUGUUAUGUGUCUUAGGUCCAAGGCCUGAUACAAAACUACAAUCGAGUCGGGGGUCUCACUUGAAGCAGCCUCUCUAUUCCUACGGGGUAGAGGUAAGGUUGUCUAUAUCUACCCUCCUCAGACCAUACCUUAGCUUUGCUAUUGGUAGGAUUUACUGAGUAUGAUGAUGAUGAUAUAUCGAACAAAUGUCGAGACAUUCAUCUACAAUCCGUCAACUGAAGGUUAUUUCACACGUUUUAACCAAAGUUGUUUUUUUUUAAUUUUGUUGCUUUCAUCUUUAUCUCUCAACCUCAAAAAUAAGUUGUUUUAAGGAUGAUUAGAAAUGUAAUAUUUAUUUAAAGUGUGCAUCUGUUAUUAACAGUAAGUAAAAUAAAGAAUUACAAGGUUGUUUAUUUGAAUUGCAAGCAACCUUUAUUACAAGUGGAUUGGUGGGGUGUGAAUUAAUCUUUUCAUUGUGGACAUUAAUUAAGUAUCUUUGAAGGUCUUACUGAGUCGUUGUGAACUAUUUUUUUUCCAGUUUUCCAUUUAACGUUUUUAAUAUACGUUACGUAAGUUUCGAUAUUCACGUCAAGUAUGUGGGUGUUAACGAAACAUGAAGGGUGUAUUGGGUUAAACUAUCGGUGAUCGUGCUGGAAUCCGCAGCGCAUCGCGCGCGAGACUAUAUCUAGUUUAAUAAAAUACUUAUCCUUGCAGAAACAUACAAAAAAGAAACAUACCUUUUUUUUUACGACAAUAUUUUUUUAAUUUCAAUCGUUUGUAAGACUUGAAUUUAAAACUUUGCCUUUUAAAAGGUUUUGUCUUUACUAAUGAACCACCACCCAGUUGAUAAAAAAGGAACGUACCUAUCAUU